RNAcentral lists this ribosomal RNA (469 nucleotides) under uncultured bacterium. RNAcentral describes it as "partial 16S ribosomal RNA". It matches the Rfam family "Bacterial small subunit ribosomal RNA", at positions 28 to 507 of the family's 1533-position model. The record is from RNAcentral.
GACGAACGCUGGCGGCGUGCUUAACACAUGCAAGUCGAACGGAAAGGCCCUGCUUGCAGGGUGCUCGAGUGGCGAACGGGUGAGUAACACGUGGGUGAUCUGCCCCUUACUUUGGGAUAAGCCUGGGAAACUGGGUCUAAUACUGGAUAGGACCAUGCUGUAGGUGGUGUGGUGGAAAGAUUAGUUUCGGUAAGGGAUGAGCUCGCGGCCUAUCAGCUUGUUGGUGGGGUAAUGGCCUACCAAGGCGUCGACGGGUAGCCGGCCUGAGAGGGUGGACGGCCACAUUGGGACUGAGAUACGGCCCAGACUCCUGCGGGAGGCAGCAGUGGGGAAUAUUGCACAAUGGGCGCAAGCCUGAGGCAGCGACGCCGCGUGGGGGAUGACGGCCUUCGGGUUGUAAACUCCUUUCAGCCAUGACGAGGCCCUUGUGGUGACGGUAGUGGUAGAAGAAGCACCGGCUAACUACGUG